AGCAAGCCAAAGCUUCAGAAGUGAUGGGACCAGUGGAGGCCGCGCCUGAAUACCGCGUCAUCGUGGAUGCCAACAACCUGACCGUGGAGAUCGAAAACGAGCUGAACAUCAUCCAUAAGUUCAUCCGGGAUAAGUACUCAAAGAGAUUCCCUGAACUGGAGUCCUUGGUCCCCAAUGCACUGGAUUACAUCCGCACGGUCAAGGAGCUGGGCAACAGCCUGGACAAGUGCAAGAACAAUGAGAACCUGCAGCAGAUCCUCACCAAUGCCACCAUCAUGGUCGUCAGCGUCACCGCCUCCACCACCCAGGGGCAGCAGCUGUCGGAGGAGGAGCUGGAGCGGCUGGAGGAGGCCUGCGACAUGGCGCUGGAGCUGAACGCCUCCAAGCACCGCAUCUACGAGUAUGUGGAGUCCCGGAUGUCCUUCAUCGCACCCAACCUGUCCAUCAUUAUCGGGGCAUCCACGGCCGCCAAGAUCAUGGGUGUGGCCGGCGGCCUGACCAACCUCUCCAAGAUGCCCGCCUGCAACAUCAUGCUGCUCGGGGCCCAGCGCAAGACGCUGUCGGGCUUCUCGUCUACCUCAGUGCUGCCCCACACCGGCUACAUCUACCACAGUGACAUCGUGCAGUCCCUGCCACCGAUUCCACCCCCGUUUUCCGUUGCUCCAGGAUCUGCGGCGGAAAGCGGCCCGGCUGGUGGCCGCCAAGUGCACACUGGCAGCCCGUGUGGACAGUUUCCACGAGAGCACAGAAGGGAAGGUGGGCUACGAACUGAAGGAUGAGAUCGAGCGCAAAUUCGACAAGUGGCAGGAGCCGCCGCCUGUGAAGCAGGUGAAGCCGCUGCCUGCGCCCCUGGAUGGACAGCGGAAGAAGCGAGGCGGCCG
This 881-nucleotide unclassified non-coding RNA is filed under the name Homo sapiens (human). RNAcentral's name for it is "pre-mRNA processing factor 31 (ENSG00000275885.4)". Lineage: Eukaryota; Metazoa; Chordata; Mammalia; Primates; Hominidae. The record is from RNAcentral.